This 539-nucleotide ribosomal RNA is filed under the name Paenisporosarcina quisquiliarum. Its description in RNAcentral is "bacterial SSU rRNA". It matches the Rfam family "Bacterial small subunit ribosomal RNA", at positions 97 to 622 of the family's 1533-position model. The record is from RNAcentral. Lineage: Bacteria; Bacillati; Bacillota; Bacilli; Caryophanales; Caryophanaceae.
AGCGGACGGGUGAGUAACACGUGGGCAACCUACCUUGUAGAUUGGGAUAACUCCGGGAAACCGGGGCUAAUACCGAAUAAUCCAUUUUGCUUCAUGGCGAAAUGUUAAAAGGCGGCUUCGGCUGUCACUGCAAGAUGGGCCCGCGGCGCAUUAGCUAGUUGGUAAGGUAACGGCUUACCAAGGCGACGAUGCGUAGCCGACCUGAGAGGGUGAUCGGCCACACUGGGACUGAGACACGGCCCAGACUCCUACGGGAGGCAGCAGUAGGGAAUCUUCCACAAUGGACGAAAGUCUGAUGGAGCAACGCCGCGUGAGUGAAGAAGGUUUUCGGAUCGUAAAACUCUGUUGUAAGGGAAGAACACGUACGAGAGUAACUGCUCGUACCUUGACGGUACCUUAUUAGAAAGCCACGGCUAACUACGUGCCAGCAGCCGCGGUAAUACGUAGGUGGCAAGCGUUGUCCGGAAUUAUUGGGCGUAAAGCGCGCGCAGGCGGUCCUUUAAGUCUGAUGUGAAAGCCCACGGCUCAACCGUGGAGGG